RNAcentral lists this ribosomal RNA (1648 nucleotides) under Streptococcus equinus. RNAcentral's name for it is "16S ribosomal RNA". It matches the Rfam family "Bacterial small subunit ribosomal RNA". The record is from RNAcentral. Lineage: Bacteria; Bacillati; Bacillota; Bacilli; Lactobacillales; Streptococcaceae.
GGGCAGGGGCGGCGUGCCUAUACAUGACAGUGGACGCAUGAUUGAUACCGGAGCUUGCUCCACCAUUAAUCAUGAGUCGCGAACGGGUGAGUAACGCGUAGGUAACCUACCUCAUAGCGGGGGAUAACUAUUGGAAACGAUAGCUAAUACCGCAUAACAGUAUUUAUCGCAUGGUAAAUACUUGAAAGGAGCAAAUGCUUCACUAUGAGAUGGACCUGCGUUGUAUUAGCUAGUUGGUGGGGUAAUGGCUCACCAAGGCAUCGAUACAUAGCCGACCUGAGAGGGUGAUCGGCCACACUGGGACUGAGACACGGCCCAGACUCCUACGGGAGGCAGCAGUAGGGAAUCUUCGGCAAUGGGGGGAACCCUGACCGAGCAACGCCGCGUGAGUGAAGAAGGUUUUCGGAUCGUAAAGCUCUGUUGUAAGAGAAGAACGUGUGUGAGAGUGGAAAGUUCACACAGUGACGGUAACUUACCAGAAAGGGACGGCUAACUACGUGCCAGCAGCCGCGGUAAUACGUAGGUCCCGAGCGUUGUCCGGAUUUAUUGGGCGUAAAGCGAGCGCAGGCGGUUUGAUAAGUCUGAAGUAAAAGGCUGUGGCUUAACCAUAGUAUGCUUUGGAAACUGUCAAACUUGAGUGCAGAAGGGGAGAGUGGAAUUCCAUGUGUAGCGGUGAAAUGCGUAGAUAUAUGGAGGAACACCGGUGGCGAAAGCGGCUCUCUGGUCUGUAACUGACGCUGAGGCUCGAAAGCGUGGGGAGCAAACAGGAUUAGAUACCCUGGUAGUCCACGCCGUAAACGAUGAGUGCUAGGUGUUGGGUCCUUUCCGGGACUCAGUGCCGUAGCUAACGCAUUAAGCACUCCGCCUGGGGAGUACGACCGCAAGGUUGAAACUCAAAGGAAUUGACGGGGGCCCGCACAAGCGGUGGAGCAUGUGGUUUAAUUCGAAGCAACGCGAAGAACCUUACCAGGUCUUGACAUCCCAGUGACCGUCCUAGAAGAUAGGAUUUUUCUUCGGAACACUGGAGACAGGUGGUGCAUGGUUGUCGUCAGCUCCUGUCCUGAGAUGUUUGGGUUAAGUCCCCCCACCAACCCCACCCCCAAUUGUUAGUUGCCAUCAUUCAAUUUGGGCACUUUAACCGAGACUGCCCGGUAUAAACCCGAGGAAAGGGGGGGGAUGGAGGUCAAAAUCACAAUGCCCCCUUAUAACCUGGGGGUACACACCUGGCUCCAAUAGGCUGGGGCACACGAUUCCCAAAUCUUGUGGAGCACAAGCAAAAUCUCUUUAAACCCCCUCCCCUUUUUUGAUUUGUAAGUGGGCGACUCCCCUCCCUCUAGAAUGGGGAAAUCUUUUUAUAUUUCCGGGAAUAACAACCCCCGCCGGGAAAUAAUUUCCCCGGGCGCUUGUUCCACCCGCCGCCUCCCACCCCCCAAAGUUGUGUAACCCCCCAAACCCUGGGGAGGAACCUUUAGAAGACCCCCCCACGGGGGGAAAAAAAAUAUGGUGAAGUUCCAUGGGCUCAGGGGGGGGGGGGGGGGGGGGGGGCCGCGUCAAAGGGGGGGAAAAAAAAACGGAGACGAAGGGGGAAAGGAAGCAAAAAAGGGCAAAAAAAAAAAAAAAAAAAAAAAGGGGAGGACACAAAAUAAGG